GAUGAACGCUGGCGGCGUGCCUAAUACAUGCAAGUCGAGCGAACAGACGAGGAGCUUGCUCCUUUGACGUUAGCGGCGGACGGGUGAGUAACACGUAGGUAACCUACCUAUAAGACUGGGAUAACUUCGGGAAACCGGAGCUAAUACCGGAUAAUAUUUCGAACCGCAUGGUUCGAUAGUGAAAGAUGGCUUUGCUAUCACUUAUAGAUGGACCUGCGCCGUAUUAGCUAGUUGGUAAGGUAACGGCUUACCAAGGCAACGAUACGUAGCCGACCUGAGAGGGUGGUCGGCCAGACUGGAACUGAGACACGGUCCAGACUCCUACGGGAGGCAGCAGUAGGGAAUCUUCCGCAAUGGGCGAAAGCCUGACGGAGCAACGCCGCGUGAGUGAUGAAGGUCUUCGGAUCGUAAAACUCUGUUAUUAGGGAAGAACAAACGUGUAAGUAACUGUGCACGUCUUGACGGUACCUAAUCAGAAAGCCACGGCUAACUACGUG
Molecule: ribosomal RNA, 497 nt
Filed under: uncultured bacterium
Lineage: Bacteria
Description: partial 16S ribosomal RNA
Rfam family: Bacterial small subunit ribosomal RNA
Source: RNAcentral